GUGGGGAAUAUUGCACAAUGGGGGAAACCCUGAUGCAGCGACGCCGCGUGAGUGAAGAAGUAUUUCGGUAUGUAAAGCUCUAUCAGCAGGAAAGAAAAUGACGGUACCUGACUAAGAAGCCCCGGCUAACUACGUGCCAGCAGCCGCGGUAAUACGUAGGGGGCAAGCGUUAUCCGGAUUUACUGGGUGUAAAGGGAGCGUAGACGGUAUGGCAAGUCUGAAGUGAAAACCCGCAGCUUAACUGUGGGACUGCUUUGGAAACUGUUAAACUAGAGUGCAGGAGAGGUAAGUGGAAUUCCUAGUGUAGCGGUGAAAUGCGUAGAUAUUAGGAGGAACACCAGUGGCGAAGGCGGCUUACUGGACUGUAACUGACGUUGAGGCUCGAAAGCGUGGGGAGCAAACAGGAUUAGAAACCCUAGUAGUCC
RNAcentral lists this ribosomal RNA (425 nucleotides) under uncultured bacterium. RNAcentral describes it as "bacterial SSU rRNA". It matches the Rfam family "Bacterial small subunit ribosomal RNA", at positions 354 to 796 of the family's 1533-position model. The record is from RNAcentral.